Molecule: ribosomal RNA, 427 nt
Filed under: uncultured bacterium
Lineage: Bacteria
Description: bacterial SSU rRNA
Rfam family: Bacterial small subunit ribosomal RNA
Source: RNAcentral
CUAAGAAUAUUCCGCAAUGGACGAAAGUCUGACGGAGCGACGCCGCGUGGAUGAAGAAGGCCGCAAGGUUGUAAAAUCCUUUUGCUGGGGAAGAAUAAGUCCAGGAGGGAAUGCCUGGAUGAUGACAUGAACCGGCGAAUAAGCCCCGGCCAACUACGAGCCAGCAGCCGCGGUAACACGUAGGGGGCAAGCGUUGUUCGGAAUUACUGGGCGUAAAGGGCAUGUAGGCGGUUUAGUAAGCUUGGCGUGAAGGACCACAGCUCAACUGUGGGGUUGGGUUAGGUACUGCUGAACUUGGGUUACGGAGAGNGAGCUAGAGUUCCUGUUGUGGGGGUGGGAUCUGAAGAGAUCAAGAAGAAUACCGAUGGCGAAGGCAAGCUUCUGGCCGAUAACUGGCGCUGGGGUGCGAAAGGGUGGGGAUCAAACA